UACGUAGGGGGCCAGCGUUGUCCGAAGUUAUUGGGCGUAAAGAGCUCGUAGGCGGUCUGUCGCGUCUGCUGUGAAAACUCAGGGCUUAACCCUGAGCUUGCAGUGGGUACGGGCAGACUAGAGUGCGGUAGGGGAGACUGGAAUUCCUGGUGUAGCGGUGGAAUGCGCAGAUAUCAGGAGGAACACCGGUGGCGAAGGCGGGUCUCUGGGCAGUAACUGACGCUGAGGAGCGAAAGCGUGGGGAGCGAACAGG
This 253-nucleotide ribosomal RNA is filed under the name uncultured bacterium. RNAcentral describes it as "partial 16S ribosomal RNA". It matches the Rfam family "Bacterial small subunit ribosomal RNA", at positions 524 to 776 of the family's 1533-position model. The record is from RNAcentral.